This is a regulatory RNA element of Mycobacterium sp., 132 nucleotides long. It matches the Rfam family "ALIL pseudoknot". Lineage: Bacteria; Bacillati; Actinomycetota; Actinomycetes; Mycobacteriales; Mycobacteriaceae. The record is from Rfam.
AGCGUUUUUCGCGGCGGCGGAGGUCGACCGCCGACUUCGGUGAUCGUCGAGUACAUCGACGCUCAUCGUCACCGGUUCGGGGUCGACCCGAUCUGCACCGUGCUUUCGAGCUACGGCGUCAAGAUCGCCCCG